GACGAACGCUGGCGGCGUGCCUAAUACAUGCAAGUCGAACGAACUCUGGUAUUGAUUGGUGCUUGCAUCAUGAUUUACAUUUGAGUGAGUGGCGAACUGGUGAGUAACACGUGGGAAACCUGCCCAGAAGCGGGGGAUAACACCUGGAAACAGAUGCUAAUACCGCAUAACAACUUGGACCGCAUGGUCCGAGUUUGAAAGAUGGCUUCGGCUAUCACUUUUGGAUGGUGCCCGCGGCGUAUUAGCUAGAUGGUGAGGUAACGGCUCACCAUGGCAAUGAUACGUAGCCGACCUGAGAGGGUAAUCGGCCACAUUGGGACUGAGACACGGCCCAAACUCCUACGGGAGGCAGCAGUAGGGAAUCUUCCACAAUGGACGAAAGUCUGAUGGAGCAACGCCGCGUGAGUGAAGAAGGGUUUCGGCUCGUAAAACUCUGUUGUUAAAGAAGAACAUAUCUGAGAGUAACUGUUCAGGUAUUAGACGGUAUUUAACCAGAAAGCCACGGCUAACUACGUGCCAGCAGCCGCGGUAAUACGUAGGUGGCAAGCGUUGUCCGGAUUUAUUGGGCGUAAAGCGAGCGCAGGCGGUUUUUUAAGUCUGAUGUGAAAGCCUUCGGCUCAACCGAAGAAGUGCAUCGGAAACUGGGAAACUUGAGUGCAGAAGAGGACAGUGGAACUCCAUGUGUAGCGGUGAAAUGCGUAGAUAUAUGGAAGAACACCAGUGGCGAAGGCGGCUGUCUGGUCUGUAACUGACGCUGAGGCUCGAAAGUAUGGGUAGCAAACAGGAUUAGAUACCCUGGUAGUCCAUACCGUAAACGAUGAAUGCUAAGUGUUGGAGGGUUUCCGCCCUUCAGUGCUGCAGCUAACGCAUUAAGCAUUCCGCCUGGGGAGUACGGCCGCAAGGCUGAAACUCAAAGGAAUUGACGGGGGCCCGCACAAGCGGUGGAGCAUGUGGUUUAAUUCGAAGCUACGCGAAGAACCUUACCAGGUCUUGACAUACUAUGCAAAUCUAAGAGAUUAGACGUUCCCUUCGGGGACAUGGAUACAGGUGGUGCAUGGUUGUCGUCAGCUCGUGUCGUGAGAUGUUGGGUUAAGUCCCGCAACGAGCGCAACCCUUAUUAUCAGUUGCCAGCAUUAAGUUGGGCACUCUGGUGAGACUGCCGGUGACAAACCGGAGGAAGGUGGGGAUGACGUCAAAUCAUCAUGCCCCUUAUGACCUGGGCUACACACGUGCUACAAUGGAUGGUACAACGAGUUGCGAACUCGCGAGAGUAAGCUAAUCUCUUAAAGCCAUUCUCAGUUCGGAUUGUAGGCUGCAACUCGCCUACAUGAAGUCGGAAUCGCUAGUAAUCGCGGAUCAGCAUGCCGCGGUGAAUACGUUCCCGGGCCUUGUACACACCGCCCGUCACACCAUGAGAGUUUGUAACACCCAAAGUCGGUGGGGUAACCUUUUAGGAACCAGCCGCCUAAGGUGGGACAGAUGAUUAGGGUG
RNAcentral lists this ribosomal RNA (1491 nucleotides) under Lactiplantibacillus plantarum. RNAcentral's name for it is "bacterial SSU rRNA". It matches the Rfam family "Bacterial small subunit ribosomal RNA". Lineage: Bacteria; Bacillati; Bacillota; Bacilli; Lactobacillales; Lactobacillaceae. The record is from RNAcentral.